RNAcentral lists this ribosomal RNA (371 nucleotides) under uncultured organism. RNAcentral describes it as "partial 16S ribosomal RNA". It matches the Rfam family "Bacterial small subunit ribosomal RNA", at positions 527 to 896 of the family's 1533-position model. The record is from RNAcentral.
GUAGGUGGCAAGCGUUGUCCGGAAUUAUUGGGCGUAAAGCGCGCGCAGGCGGUUCUUUAAGUCUGAUGUGAAAGCCCACGGGCUCAACCGUGAGGGUCAUUGGAAACUGAGAACUUGAGUACAGAAGAGGAAAGCGGAAUUCCACGUGUAGCGGUGAAAUGCGUAGAGAUGUGGAGGAACACCAGUGGCGAAGGCGGCUUUCUGGUCUGUAACUGACGCUGAGGCGCGAAAGCGUGGGGAGCAAACAGGAUUAGAUACCCUGGUAGUCCACGCCGUAAACGAUGAGUGCUAAGUGUUAGGGGGUUUCCGCCCCUUAGUGCUGCAGCUAACGCAUUAAGCACUCCGCCUGGGGAGUACGGCCGCAAAGGCUG